UGCCCGGCCGAGAAGAGACAGGCACCUCCCGUAGCAAAGCAACGGCUGCGGCGAGAGACGACUCGACUCCCGUAUGGAGUAACCCCGCCGCGUCGUGCCCUCGCCUCCGGCCCGGCGGCCUCCUGCCACCGCCGCCCCAUCGCCCUUCCGCUCUCGGUCUGGCGGAGCGGGUUGAACAUCUGCUCGCUCAUCUUGACCUGACCGAGAGGCGCAUCGCGAGUUCGCUACCUGGCCCAUCGCGCCGCCUCUUCCCAGGCGCUGAAGCGCCGCCGCCCGCGCCCACCGGUCGGCGUCGCCGACCCGCGCCGGCCCUCCAGCCUCCGCAUCUCCGUGGCCCCUUUCUACUGGCCUGCUGCACCUCCUCCGCCCCGCGCAGGUCGCUGCUGCCCUGCUUCCUGCUCCACCUCGCGGCCUCGCCUCGGAGUGCCAAGCAGCCGCCGAAGGGGCCGGAGCUAGGGUUUCGGCCAAAAAUCGCUGCGGCCAGGGCGCCGGUCCGUUCGCCGUCUUCGUAUCUCUCAUCUCAUUCAGUGUGACAUUCAAAUUUCAAGAUAAUCUGCUGUAGAACACAAAAGUUGCGCAGAUGAUUGAUGAUGAGGCCAACUUCGACAUCAUCUUUGAUGCCUCAGAAGAUGUGCAGACCACUGCGAAGUUCCGUCCCAAGCAACGGGCCAAACCCCGAAAAACUGCUCUGUCAUCCAGAUCUGCAGCAUCUAAUCCUACUGUGGAAAAUGGAGUUGGGAAACUAGGAGCCUUAAAUCAAGUCAGUUCUUCUAAAGAACUCACCAACCAAGAAAGAGCAUCCUUGACAUGCCCUGGUAGUGACAUACCUGAUGAUAAAGCUGGUUCUCGAGGUAUUCUUGAGACACCAUUGGAUGAUGUGCUGACAGUUCCAUUGGGACCUCCGGGUGGUACUUCUGCUGCAGAUAGGAUUUCUCAAGGUGACAAGCAAAAUGCUGAUUUGUCUAAAUUAGCUACACAUCAAGAAAGCUUGGUGGUUUCAGAUAUCCAAGUGUCACCUGCCAGUUCAUGUGGCAAGACUAUCGAUGAUGUAGUUGACUUUGAGGAAAUGUUUGGUGCACAGGAUAAAGAGGAAAGAGUUGCAAAGUUCCAGCCAAAGGUACAGAAGAAGCUCCUUAAGACAGCCAAAUCUCAAAAGACUAACCAAAAGGUGGAAGCUUCCACUGUAGACGUGGCUCCACAAAAUGAAACGGGUGAUGAUAUUCAGACAAGAGUCCAUUGUAAUCAGCUACAGGGCCCUAAAUGUCAUGGAAGUGUGCAGACCCCAGAUUCUGAAGGAUUGUUGGCAACCAGCAACAGUGAUGUUGGCAAUUUAGAAAACCUUGACAGUGUCCAUGAGGUAUCAGUUCAAGAGGAAACAAUAGUGAAGUUUUGUCCUAAAUUGCGACCGAAGCCUAUGAUAGUUUCAUCCAAAGUUGUCAGUACUAAUGAUAAUAUCACUACGGCUACUCGGAUGGUUGGAAUUUGUGCUGAGAGCAAUGAUAUGUCGACAAAACCUAAAGAUCAGGAAACCAUCACCGCUUCAGCCACUUCGUCAGCACAGGAUGUGGAUGCUACUGUUGAUUUAGACCACCACAAUGAACUAGUUAAUUCUCCUACGGAUGGUACAGAAUUGAUGGUUGGAAAAGUCUCAGCUGAAGCUACUUGUAAGUCUCAAUCCAAUGUUGUAAGAGAAAAGGGCAAAGGAAAAUCUGUAUCUUUUGCUCUGUCAGAUGCUUCUGGGGUUGUUACUCCUACAGAUACCAAUUCUGAGAUGGGUAACUUCAGCGAUUCCUGCAAAGACAAAUUGAUCGAUGAAAACUUAAGUAACUUGUCUCAGCAGACGUCUGAAAAGGAACAUAAUGAUAAUGAGAGCUGGUUCGAUGAGGGGGAUCCAUUAGAUCAUGCUGUUGAACCACCACCAAAAUUGGGUAUUGGGGAAAACAGAUCAUCUAUGAAACUACGGAGCAGGAAGAAGACACAGAAAGAUGGGACACCUAAGCAUACAGAUGACUAUUUUGAUGAAGACUUAGUUGAACCUUCAUUAGUUGAAGAAGAUAAUGAUAGUGGUGAUGAUUACACUGCCGGUACUAAUCGGAAGGUUAGGAAAAAAUCAAGGGGUGAUGUAGAAGAGCCACAGCAGCGAAAUGUCCAAAAAGAUAAAAGCCAGGUAUCUUCGCGGGGCCGCAAGAGAACCUUGAAAGAUGCAUCAGCAGAAAAAACAGAGAAGAAGCUUACCCAUAGAAUUCGCCAGAGGAGAUCGAAAGAGGUUAAGACUUUACUGGAAAAACCUCAUGACGAGAUAAAUCCUAUGAAGCUAAGUGCAGCACACCUGAGGUUGUUACAAGAGGCUAGAGAGCGUGUUAAUGCAAAAGAGAAUCCAUCCGGCCCAUCCUCUAAUACAAGCAGCUUUCAAUUUCAUGAUGAUAUGGAUGAUUUGGACUAUGGAGAUGAGGAAGGAAGGAACUUCGACAAUGACAGAACAGAGAACCAUGUACAAAAUAUGAAAAAACUGAACUACCAUUCCUACAUGAACAAACAAACUCGAGGCAAAUGGUCAAAAUCUGAUACUGAUGUGUUUUACCAGGGGCUUCGACAAUUUGGUAGCGAUUUUGCAAUGAUACAGCAAUUACUCCCUGAUAAGACCCGUCAGCAGGUGCGGGCAAAAUUUAAAACCGAGGAGAAAAAAAAUCCGUUGCUAGUCCAUGAUGCUAUAAUUCAUCGCUCAGGAGAUAAUUUGUACUUCAAAAAGGUAAUUAAGAAUCUCAACAUUGAAGAUGUCGCGCAGCAAGAGAUUAAUAAUACUCAUAAACAAGACGGCGCAUCAAGUGAACGAGGCCCUGGAAAAGAGGAUGUACUGGAUGAUUUCAUCCAUGAGGAAGAUGAUUCGAAUUGGUUGGAUGAAGAGCCCGGCAUACAAAUGCCUGAUGUGCAAAAUGAGCGCCCUUCUGGAAAUGAUGAGGAUGAUGAUGGUGAUCUUGGCGAUGUUUUUGAUUGGUACUAGCACGAUAAUCACGACAGAAAUUAGGAUCACGAUCUAAUUCUGCUUACUUUGAGGUUUAUCUGGAUCAGGUACCCGGAUGGGGUUUACUGCUUCACCUCCCUAGUUGUUGCUAACCAGAGGAUAGUGACAGAGUAUUCCUAUCCCUGUAACAUGACACAUCCUUCCUGUAAUGUUUUGUUGGAAAAGUGGACCUGUGAUGUCUUGGCGACUACUAUCAUCAUUAGUCAGUAUUAGUGGUAGCGACAGAUGUCUCCUGGAACGCCAAGUUUUGCAAGCUGAUGGGAACUGUGAUGAAUGUUUUUUAUCAUAUGAUGCUGCUGAAGUGGCCCUUCCGUAGCUUCUUAUGUAGUAAUAAUAUUCUUUCUCUCGCUGGCAAAACGAGAGGUCGAUGAAUAGAUAGUACGGAGUACG
Molecule: RNA transcript, 3412 nt
Organism: Panicum virgatum (switchgrass)
Lineage: Eukaryota; Viridiplantae; Streptophyta; Magnoliopsida; Poales; Poaceae
Exons: 12
Source: RefSeq, a predicted model, not a curated record